Molecule: long non-coding RNA, 3391 nt
Filed under: Pavo cristatus (Indian peafowl)
Lineage: Eukaryota; Metazoa; Chordata; Aves; Galliformes; Phasianidae
Description: lncRNA (ENSPSTG00000015284.1)
Source: RNAcentral
CCCGCCCGCCCCCGGGGGUCGCUGCCCGCCGCCCCCUCCGCCCCCACGGCCCGGGGAAGGGAGGGAAGAGGGGGAUCCCCGCCGCCUCCCGGGCUCUCUCACCUGGCGCUGCUGCUCGUGCCGCCGCCCCGCCGCUCCUCUCCCCUCCCGCCCGGGCCCGGCGCUUCCCGGGCACCGCUCGGAUCCCGCCGCCGCCGGGGGCAGGAGGAGGAGGAGGAGGAGAAGGAGGAGGAGGNUGUUUCUGUACAGCCGUGAGGUGUAGGAAUGCACUGACAUAACGUAGCACACAGAAAAAGGAGAGCUGAGAUUCCUCUGUGAUAGCAGGAAUCCGGGACCCGAGGAAAGCACCAAAUUGCCUCAACCUUUAAAGCACGAAAGCUGUCAUCGGUGAUCUCAAAUCUGGACAUUUUACAGCUGUUGAGAUGGAAAAAAAACAAAAAUCAGUUCACUCAACAGGUUUCUUAUGGAUUUAGCGCUGGGGGAUGAUCUCACCUCGAGGCAUCACAUCCAGAAGAAGCCAAGCCCUGCCUGCAGAGCAGCCUGUCCUACUGAGCUACCGGAGUUUGUCAGACAUAGGGCGUGCAAAACAGCUCACCCCUGCGUGGAUUCUCUGGUGUGUAGUAAGGCUCCAGCACGGCCCUUCCCUCAUUAGGAAAGUUAAAAGGGUCCCUUCUCAUUUUCAUUAGACGGGGUGAAAGCUGCUCCAAGAUAACAUGCCAUCACCUGACUCCUUCCUGAGGCCAUUCGGAGCCUCCGCCCUCCCACACAAUGGAGUUUAUCUCGGAGGUUGUUCCUGCCCCUCCCUCUGUCUACACCUUCAGGUAUCCCAUUAGGGAGGCUCUGAUACCCGAACCCAGUAGGAAAGCAUCCAGCUCACACAAUCUCCACGCUUGCAGCAAGCGGAGCACAACCUCAGAGCAGCGCCCGAGCCAAGGCAGCGCGUGUCCUGCCUGCCUGCCUGCCUGCAGGAAGCACCCCAGCCAAAACUCACAGAGAUGGAAGGAUGCUCACCACAUCCCUCAAGGUGACCCCUGCUGCCUCGUCUCCAUCAGCACUCUCACUUCCAGGCACUACAACCUGUGCAUCUCUCAUCUGUGCUCAGGAAAAACAGUUGUUUGGUUCUGUGAUUCCUGCAGGGAAUCCGACUGCAAAGCAGCCAAAGGCUCAUCCCAACACUGACAACAAAGGAAGCUCACUCAGCUUUGGUUACGAUUGAGUGACAAAAGCCACAGGCAUGCACGGAGGUUACUUCUACUCACACCUCUUUCAUUGAAAACAAUCAGGUUUCAUUUAUCCUGGAGCUCUGCAAGUAACUACACAACCAGAAAUGGUGGUGACAUACCCUGAGAAGGCGGAGCCAAAGCAUUUGGGAGAGAAGACGACGGUGUCUGGUCUCAGAAGCAUUUGGUGAUUACUCGUUGUAGCCAUAAAAGUCCUGGAGGGUGACUGCUGUCUCCCACAGCCCUGCGCUGUCAGGAAGAUCCUGAGAAAGCUCUGAUGUUCACUGGAAUUUACAGUGUGUUUAUAUUUGAAGUGAGGAUAUCAGAAGCACUCUCAGCUUCCUGCUCUCUUUGCCUUGUUCCCCUCCUGUCCCCCAGGUUCCAGAGCUCACCUGUGAAAUCUGGAUGCUCUGGGAGGAGAUACAUACCUGGGGAGGCAAAGCGUUCCUUGCUAUUUGCUGGAACCCUCAGAAUCCCAGCUGGAUUGAAAGCCCUUCUGAAGGAAUUUUUCAGGCUCAGCCCAAGUCAUGGGCACGAUGCCACAAUCCCUACACGAAAGGGUUAUGCAAAGGGUCAGAAUCGGUGAUGAUAAGAUUCCCUUCCAGCCAAAACAAUCUACAAACAUCCAAGGAAACCCACCACCCUCUGGCAAGAGCCAGGACCAGAUUUUCUGAAGUGCAACAAUGUCUGGCUCCAGAAUCACAGGGGCAGCGCCUCUGAAGAGCAAUGAAAUCAUCUCUUCUGCCUGGGAGGUUUGAUGAGCUAUGUUGGCAAUGCCCGUCAGCUACAGACCACAAGGCUGGAGCACUGGGAACAAAACUCGAGCAGAUGUGUUCAGAAUUGCUUUAAAAUUAAUGUCACACUGCUUAGAAGAUUAAAAAGACAGUGAAAGUAAACUCUUUGCACACGCUAGAAAUACAUUGUGCAACCCAGCCUGCUCAGCAGGCUCAAAGGGGGAACGGCAGAAGCUGCUGCAAGUCAGGACCGACGUACCUGAGCAGAGCGGUGUGGGAGGCAAGGCCUGGAGUUGCAGGAGUGUAGCAGCUUCAGAGAGAAUGGGAGCUGACAGACAGUAAUACACGAAGCUCAGAUGGUAUCUGUCUGUAGGAGGCCUGGCUCAACUCAAGGCCAUUAACUUGUUGCUCUCUGAACAGCACCAAAAGGACGGGAAGCAGAAGCACGUUGGCCCAGCAUGGUUUGUGUUCAACGACUGCUUAAAGAUUACAGCAGAGCGAAGAACGCUGAGAGAGGUGCAGAGCCACUUGAAUGGCUGCAGGCUCACAGGGCUGCAAGUUUUUGCAUGAAGACCAAGUCAAAACCAGGCAGACAACUGGGACGUUGCCUUCAAAGUAGAAAGAAAUAAAUUACUAGUCUUCAUUUCUUCCCUUUCAGGAGUUUGAACUUAAAGGGGAGUCCGUCAACUUUACAUAAAUCCUGUGCAUAAUUAAAAACAUAUUUUCCUGUGCUGCAGAGAAGCCCCUGGAUGAUUAAUAAGGCAUUUUUCGAACUACUUUAAUUCACACUAAUUAAGCUGCUUAUUUACCCCACUCAAUAAUUUUCCUUCCAGGGGGUUAAAGCUAUCCCAGGAGGUGGUUUCCCCUCCAGGGACCAAGAGGGAAAGGACCCCAGGGAGCUGCCUAAGGCACCAGUAACAUACAGAGGUGUUUCACAGACAGCAACAGAGCUGGUUACACAAACCACAUCAUGUCAAACCCUCACUGCACUUCUCUUGCUAAGCCUGAUUCUUUGCCCGAGUAAGAUGAGGAGACAUGAAGUUGCUCAGCUCUUGGGAGCCCUGAAGAGCAGUUUGCCUAGACUUUGUCUGAGCUCCCAGCCUUGCUUGGGACCAGACUUUGUAAGCCUAGCACAAAAACAUAACAGAGGCUGCACAGGGUUGGGUCAGGCUUGUGGCCAACAGCAGAUAAAUACGUUAGAUGCAAGUGGAAGGGAUGGAAGGGGAAUUCAGAACCUCACUGGCAUUUUCUCUCGCCUUUAAUAUUAUUGUUUCUCUCAGCAUUUCAAGCCCACAGGCUGACUGGCAGGGUUUGGAGAGUUAAGGAGUUCCUCCCAAGCAUUGGUGCAUUCAUGCUUUGGCUCCUGCACCCUCAUCAAGGGCAGGUCAGUAACAAGGUAUGAUUUUUGAGUUGCCUCUACUAAAAAAGGCAGGAAAU